RNAcentral lists this ribosomal RNA (288 nucleotides) under Triticum aestivum (bread wheat). RNAcentral's name for it is "partial small subunit ribosomal RNA". Lineage: Eukaryota; Viridiplantae; Streptophyta; Magnoliopsida; Poales; Poaceae. The record is from RNAcentral.
AUGGGAGGCCAAAAGGGUCUUGCUGCGAUCAUGGUGGGUGUGCUCCUCAUACUGGGGCUGGCCACUGCGGCGAUGAGCUCCUCGGAGAAGGUGGCCACGGGCGGGAAGACGUCGUGGCCGGAGGUGGUGGGGCUGAGCGCGGAGGAGGCCAAGAAGAUCAUCCUCAAGGACAAGCCCGAUGCCGACAUCGUCGUCCUCCCCGCCGGCUCGAUGGUCACCAUGGACUACAAUCCCCGGCGCGUCCGCGUCUUCGUCGACACCGUCGAUGAGACCCCCUACGCAGGCUAG